RNAcentral lists this ribosomal RNA (673 nucleotides) under Curtobacterium luteum. RNAcentral's name for it is "bacterial SSU rRNA". It matches the Rfam family "Bacterial small subunit ribosomal RNA", at positions 680 to 1354 of the family's 1533-position model. Lineage: Bacteria; Bacillati; Actinomycetota; Actinomycetes; Micrococcales; Microbacteriaceae. The record is from RNAcentral.
GUUGAAAUGCGCAGAUAUCAGAAGGAACACCGAUGGCGAAGGCAAGAUCUCUGGCCGUAACUGACGCGAGAGCGAAAGCGUGGGAGCGAACAGGAUUAGAUACCCUUGGUAGUCCACGCCGUAAACGUUGGGCGCUAGAUGUAGGGACCUUUCCACGGUUUCUGUGUCGUAGCUAACGCAUUAAGCGCCCCGCCUGGGGAGUACGGCCGCAAGGCUAAAACUCAAAGGAAUUGACGGGGGCCCGCACAAGCGGCGGAGCAUGCGGAUUAAUUCGAUGCAACGCGAAGAACCUUACCAAGGCUUGACAUACACCGGAAACGGCCAGAGAUGGUCGCCCCCUUGUGGUCGGUGUACAGGUGGUGCAUGGUUGUCGUCAGCUCGUGUCGUGAGAUGUUGGGUUAAGUCCCGCAACGAGCGCAACCCUCGUUCUAUGUUGCCAGCGCGUUAUGGCGGGGACUCAUAGGAGACUGCCGGGGUCAACUCGGAGGAAGGUGGGGAUGACGUCAAAUCAUCAUGCCCCUUAUGUCUUGGGCUUCACGCAUGCUACAAUGGCCGGUACAAAGGGCUGCGAUACCGUAAGGUGGAGCGAAUCCCAAAAAGCCGGUCUCAGUUCGGAUUGAGGUCUGCAACUCGACCUCAUGAAGUCGGAGUCGCUAGUAAUCGCAGAUCAGCA